This 497-nucleotide ribosomal RNA is filed under the name uncultured bacterium. RNAcentral's name for it is "partial 16S ribosomal RNA". It matches the Rfam family "Bacterial small subunit ribosomal RNA", at positions 28 to 507 of the family's 1533-position model. The record is from RNAcentral.
GAUGAACGCUGGCGGCGUGCCUAAUACAUGCAAGUCGAGCGAACGGACGAGAAGCUUGCUUCUCUGAUGUUAGCGGCGGACGGGUGAGUAACACGUGGAUACCCUACCUAUAAGACUGGGAUAACUUCGGGACACCGUAGCUAAUCCCGGAUAAUCUUCUGAACCGCAUGGUUGAAAAGUGAAAGACGGUCUUGCUGUAACUUAUAGAUGGAUACGCGCUGCAUUAGCUAGUUGGUACGGUAAAGGCUUACCAAGGCAACGAGGCAUAGCCGACCUGUUAGGAGGAUAGCCGACACUGGAACGUAGACAGGGUCAUGACUCCUACGGGAGGCAGCAGUAGGGAAUCGGACGCAAUGGUCGAAAGUCUUACGCAGCAACGGCGAGCGAGUUAUGAAGGUCUUGGGAUCGUAAAACUCGGUUAUGAGUUAAGAACAUAUUUGUAAGGAGCUGAGCACAUCUUGACGGUACUUAAUCAGAAAGCCACGGCUAACUACGUG